GACGAACGCUGGCGGCGUGCCUAAUACAUGCAAGUCGAACGCACUCUCGUUUAGAUUGAAGGAGCUUGCUCCUGAUUGAUAAACAUUUGAGUGAGUGGCGGACGGGUGAGUAACACGUGGGUAACCUGCCCUAAAGUGGGGGAUAACAUUUGGAAACAGAUGCUAAUACCGCAUAAAACCUAACACCGCAUGGUGUAGGGUUGAAAGAUGGUUUCGGCUAUCACUUUAGGAUGGACCCGCGGUGCAUUAGUUAGUUGGUGAGGUAAAGGCUCACCAAGACCGUGAUGCAUAGCCGACCUGAGAGGGUAAUCGGCCACACUGGGACUGAGACACGGCCCAGACUCCUACGGGAGGCAGCAGUAGGGAAUCUUCCACAAUGGACGAAAGUCUGAUGGAGCAACGCCGCGUGAGUGAAGAAGGUUUUCGGAUCGUAAAACUCUGUUGUUGGAGAAGAAUGUAUCUGAUAGUAACUGAUCAGGU
Molecule: ribosomal RNA, 480 nt
Filed under: uncultured bacterium
Lineage: Bacteria
Description: bacterial SSU rRNA
Rfam family: Bacterial small subunit ribosomal RNA
Source: RNAcentral